CAAAAAUGGAGAACUGAUAAUUAUCACUGUAUUUAUUCUUUAUGGUUACUCGGGGGAACAUUUUAAAAGGGGACAUUAAUGGAAUAAGAUUACCUUUCCGUCACUCACAUCUGACUACUCAUAGACUUUUCUAUUUGAAGACGGAUUAAGGAAAAUUUUCCUGCAAACAAAUGUGGUCAAAUGAAUUGAUGAACAUGCAUACCUGCCAGGUACCCAGCAUCCUCAAGUGCCUAUAUGACAUUAACUCCAGUAGCCUGUGUGACCAUGUAGAAUAAAAAUAAAGUUACUGGGAGUUCAGGGUUGAUAAUAGCUCUGCUUUGUAUAUUUCUGCAGAAGUCAGAGUCUUUCAAAAUAUGGGAACAGUGAGUUAAAAUAAACUGUCUUAUUGGCAGAACAGAGUGUGAUCAUGAGAUACCAUUCAGCUUUUAUGCUGAUUCAUCAGCUCACAGUGAAACAAGCUUGCAAGAGAGCAUCCCAGGACCACUCAACAUUCAGAGGUCUAUUUCUGGCUUCUCUUUCCACAGCAUAGGCAGCUCUGCAGAAUAAAAAGCGUUUCUCCCACCUGCCCUGGCCUCUAACCCGGCUCUGAAAGAGGUAGGCUGUGAAUGAUGGUUGUCAGUGUCAGGAGUUUUCACUGAAAAACGGUCCCCUGAAAUGGAAAGACACACAGAAGGGAGUGAUCUCAUCGCCAUUGAUUUUCCCCAACUUUCAGUUUUAUAGCUCCAUGGUGAAACUCAACACAGCAGCGUCCCUCAGUGGUUCCAGCCCAGAACUGCAGGGGGAAGCUGGCUGUUCAUUAAUUCUGUAGCUCAAAAAGCAGAGGCCAAGAAAGCAAAAUUUCAAACCUUUGUCAGAAAGGGUGAGACCUUGCUUAGCAAGGUAGCUGAGAACAGCUUCCUCCUUCUGAGCUGGUCUCUCGAGACCGACAACUGACAGCCGAUGAUCCCACACUCUCAGUCAUGGCAAUGACCUUGUCUGAGCACCAGUUUGUAAUGGAUGUUUAAGAGCAAGGUAAGGGAAUUAAAUGCUGCACAGGAGUUUGGAACUUCUGUCCAGAAAUAGAAAAACUAAAUGAAAAUUAUAGUACCUUCCACUCAACUAAGAUUCUUAUGAAGCAAAGUGUAUCUGGGAAAAUAUAGUAAUAUUAUUAUUUUGUGUUCAUAGUGUGUGACUCUACUUAUAAACACCUUUUCUUUUGAGACAGAGUCCUGCUUUGUCACCAGGCACCAGGCUGGCAUGCAGUGGCACAAUCUUGGCUCACUGCAACCUCCACCCACCAGGUUCAAGCAAUUCUGCUGCCUCAGCCUCCCAGGUAGCUGGGAUUACAGGCACGCACCACCAUGCCAGUCUA
Molecule: long non-coding RNA, 1351 nt
Filed under: Callithrix jacchus (white-tufted-ear marmoset)
Lineage: Eukaryota; Metazoa; Chordata; Mammalia; Primates; Cebidae
Description: lncRNA (ENSCJAG00000059420.2)
Source: RNAcentral